CAGGCAGUCUGUGGAGCAGUCAGCCUGCAAUGCAGUCUGUGGACAGGAUGGCCCCUUUGGUCUGAGCAUUGGUAGAGGGUUGCUUAGCAAGCACUCUACCAGUGACCUGCAUUUCAGCUGCGGCAGUCUGAAGGUGAAAGUUUCCUUUGACUACUCCUGAACACUUGGCCCCAGAUGGCAUGCUGUUUCCGGAAGGAGGAACCCUGCUGGGAAGUGGAGCAGCACUGCAGAGGGAUUUUAUAACCUGGGCCUCACUUCAUAGCUGCUCUUGGCUUCCUGAAUGAAGACACGUGUCCAGCUACUGCAUGCUCCUGCCUCCAGGUGUUACCCAUGCUUGACUGUACCCCUUUAAGCCCUCGACUCCAGGUGUUUCUCCUCCCUGACUGUAACCCCUGGUUCACAAGACAAGUAACUUAACACCUCAGUUCAAAGAAUUAAAGACUUAACUUUAAA
Mesocricetus auratus (golden hamster) is the source of this 453-nucleotide long non-coding RNA. RefSeq lists it as uncharacterized. Lineage: Eukaryota; Metazoa; Chordata; Mammalia; Rodentia; Cricetidae. The transcript is spliced from 2 exons. The record is from RefSeq and is a predicted model, not a curated record.